GAUGAACGCUGGCGGCGUGCUUAACACAUGCAAGUCGAACGUGAUCCAUUAGCAAUAGUGGCGAAAGUGGCGAACGGGUGAGUAACACGUAGAUAACCUACCCUGAAGCGGGGGAUAACGAUUGGAAACGGUCGCUAAUACCGCAUGAGCCUAUUGAAGCGGGAGUGAGAUAGGGAAAAUUCAGGUGCUUUAGGCGGGGUCUGCGUCCGAUUAGCUAGUUGGUGAGGUAACGGCUCACCAAGGCGACGAUCGGUAGCUGGUCUGAGAGGACGAUCAGCCACACGGGAACUGAGACACGGUCCCGACUCCUACGGGGGGCAGCAGUGAGGAUAUUGGGCAAUGGGCGAAGCCUGACCCAGCAACGCCGCGUGGAGGAUGAAGGCCUUCGGGUCGUAAACUCCUUUUGACGGGGAAGAGGAAGGACGGUACCCGUCGAAUAAGUCACGGCUAACUACGUGCCAGCAGCCGCGGUAAU
RNAcentral lists this ribosomal RNA (475 nucleotides) under uncultured bacterium. Its description in RNAcentral is "bacterial SSU rRNA". It matches the Rfam family "Bacterial small subunit ribosomal RNA", at positions 28 to 524 of the family's 1533-position model. The record is from RNAcentral.